Molecule: non-coding RNA, 31 nt
Filed under: Rattus norvegicus (Norway rat)
Lineage: Eukaryota; Metazoa; Chordata; Mammalia; Rodentia; Muridae
Source: RNAcentral
UCCAUUAAUGAUCAAAUAAAGUAAUUCUUGG